UGGCGAACGGGUGAGUAAUGUAUCGGAACGUACCUUUCAGUGGGGGAUAACGUAGCGAAAGUUACGCUAAUACCGCAUAUUCUGUGAGCAGGAAAGCAGGGGAUCGCAAGACCUUGCGCUGAUUGAGCGGCCGAUAUCAGAUUAGCUAGUUGGUGAGGUAAAGGCUCACCAAGGCGACGAUCUGUAGCGGGUCUGAGAGGAUGAUCCGCCACACUGGAACUGAGACACGGUCCAGACUCCUACGGGAGGCAGCAGUGGGGAAUUUUGGACAAUGGGGGCAACCCUGAUCCAGCCAUGCCGCGUGAGUGAAGAAGGCCUUCGGGUUGUAAAGCUCUUUCGGCCGGGAAGAAAUCGCAU
This 357-nucleotide ribosomal RNA is filed under the name uncultured bacterium. Its description in RNAcentral is "bacterial SSU rRNA". It matches the Rfam family "Bacterial small subunit ribosomal RNA", at positions 96 to 456 of the family's 1533-position model. The record is from RNAcentral.